UGGGGAAUAUUGGACAAUGGGCGAAAGCCUGAUCCAGCCAUGCCGCGUGUGUGAAGAAGGUCUUCGGAUUGUAAAGCACUUUAAGUUGGGAGGAAGGGCAUUAACCUAAUACGUUAGUGUUUUGACGUUACCGACAGAAUAAGCACCGGCUAACUCUGUGCCAGCAGCCGCGGUAAUACAGAGGGUGCAAGCGUUAAUCGGAAUUACUGGGCGUAAAGCGCGCGUAGGUGGUUUGUUAACUUGGAUGUGAAAUCCCCGGGCUCAACCUGGGAACUGCAUUCAAAACUGACUGACUAGAGUAUGGUAGAGGGUGGUGGAAUUUCCUGUGUGGCGGUGAAAUGCGUAGAUAUAGGAAGGAACAAC
RNAcentral lists this ribosomal RNA (363 nucleotides) under uncultured bacterium. Its description in RNAcentral is "partial 16S ribosomal RNA". It matches the Rfam family "Bacterial small subunit ribosomal RNA", at positions 355 to 710 of the family's 1533-position model. The record is from RNAcentral.